This 2028-nucleotide long non-coding RNA is filed under the name Homo sapiens (human). RNAcentral's name for it is "HSALNT0220766". The record is from RNAcentral. Lineage: Eukaryota; Metazoa; Chordata; Mammalia; Primates; Hominidae.
CUUAAUCCAGUCUAUCAUUGUUGGACAUUUGGGUUGGUUCCAAGUCUUUGCUAUUGUGAAUUCUUCAUUUUCACAGGACCUGUCUCUAAUCGACAUCGCAUUCUCUGGGGAGCCAGGCUGUGAGCUAAUGUGGAAGGUAGUUUGUGGGAUUAUCUCCCUUUCCUAUAACUGGGAGGUUGAGGUGAUUUGUUCAAGGUCGCUCAGAGGCAGCCAAGAAAAGAACCCAGCACUCAAGAUUCUAGGCCCUUGACUGCAUGGCCUUGCAGGUGAAUACCACAAAUCAAGGCUGCGUUCAGGUGUUAACACGUGCUAACGCCAGACAAGAGCUCAGAUGACUCUGGGGGUGUUUGUCAGGUCUCCAUGACAUUCUACAAGAGAGCUUUUUUCUUCUGAUGAUUUUUUUUAUUUGCAGUGUUUCGUUUUUAAUCAUCUUACGGCUGUGUGAUCAUUUCAGUCACUGCUGGAAUCUUCACUCCUCCCUCCUUACUUGAUGGUCAGCUGCAUAAAACUUUUCAGGAGAAGAGAUAUAAGGAAAAGUAAAGUGUCAUGGGCUUUACUCAGAGGACCAGGUCAAUCUGGCAGUUUAGCCUUCCCAGGCUUAAUGACAUAGUUCGUAACACUAAAAGUAAAGUUGUUAGGACAAAAAUAAUUCUGUCGUUGCACAAAAAAAGUUGGGAAUGCCUGUGCCAAAUAAAAGGAUUAUAUAUCCAGCUUUUAUGGGGAGCAUAUAGUCAUUUAAAAAAUAUGGCAAAUCACAUUAUUGGCUAGCUGCUUGCUAAAGGGGGGUGGAGUGGAGGAGUUUCUUAAAGCUAUUAUUUUAAUUUCUGGCUAAAGUGAGGAAGCUUUGAUACUGGGCUGAUGAAAUAAACCUAGUGUGGGAUAAUACUGAACCAGAGCCAGACCACAAAUCAGACGCGAUUCUGAAAGUACAGCAUAAAAGCCUGAACAAUUAAAUAUGAUCUAUUACUUCCCAGAUGGUUUUAGAAAACUUGGAAUUUAAAAAAAGGCAAAAAAAAAUUAAAAAAGAGGGUAAGCCACUGGAAUAGCAUUAGAUUAUUAGAUUUAGGAUUUAAAUACCACUAUUUCCUUUGAAUCCAGUGGGAAGUUAUGUACUCUCAUGACUAUUAAGUCUGUAAGAUGAGGUCAGUGACCCCUUAUCUAAUGUAUGAGGUAUGUUUUAAGAGAACAAAAUUUCAAAGUGUGGUCUUUAUAGAGCAUUUUGAGAUCUAAAAGAGAUUCUAUAUGAAAACCUUAUUGUAACGAUGGUAACAAUUAUGAUUGAAGUAGUUUAGAAGGUACCUUUGGCCAUAUGAAGUAAAAUGUUUCAAAAUCACCACCAUAUGAAACUUUUAAUUUAGUGUUAAAAUUAACUGAGAACAAUAGGGACUCCCUAAAAAAGCUAUUUUGACAAGGGGAAAUUAGGACAUUGAGCUAAGGAGAGAUCCAACUUCAUAUGGAAAAAUUGCACAUUAUUAAGGCAAAAGAAUGAGAGUUGUAAAUCAAGUCCUUAUUUUAGAGCAUACAGAAAUACUCCUUAAAAGAGGGAGACUCGGCUCAGUGCUUAUAAAUUUUGUCUGAAAAUAUUGCUAGUAAAUAUAUCCUUUCUCCUAAUCAGUACCACCUAUAUUUGUAUUGAAUUAAAUAGCUUUUCUAGUGAUUGUGUUGUAAAAGUGAAAGCCUAUCUUCUGUCGAUAUUUAGAUUUUUAAUAAAAAAGAUUUUUUUCUCCCCUUUAGUUACUCUUAGUGGGGGUAAAAACGAAGCACCAUUAGAAACACCGUAACUGGCAACAGAAAACAAAUCUUACAUUGAAUUAACAUCUUCAGAUUUUAGGGAGGGAAGGAAGCUUAGUUAUUUGUUCCAAACCCUGUAAGUGAAGAAACCGAGGCACAGAGAAGCACGGAGACUUGCUGUGGUUGGGCAGCUGGUUCCGACACAGCCAAUUUUUUUCUUUCCUAGUUCAGUGCUCUUUGAUUAAUAUGGAGUCAUCUGAUAAUUAAUUAACACAUGUUUACAAAAUGACUGAAAAA